UGCAGUCGAGCGGAAACGACAUUAUUGAUUCUUCGGAGGAUUUAAUGGGCGUCGAGCGGCGGACGGGUGAGUAAUGCCUAGGAAAUUGCCUUGAUGUGGGGGAUAACCAUUGGAAACGAUGGCUAAUACCGCAUAAUGCCUACGGGCCAAAGAGGGGGACCUUCGGGCCUCUCGCGUCAAGAUAUGCCUAGGUGGGAUUAGCUAGUUGGUGAGGUAAUGGCUCACCAAGGCGACGAUCCCUAGCUGGUCUGAGAGGAUGAUCAGCCACACUGGAACUGAGACACGGUCCAGACUCCUACGGGAGGCAGCAGUGGGGAAUAUUGCACAAUGGGCGAAAGCCUGAUGCAGCCAUGCCGCGUGUAUGAAGAAGGCCUUCGGGUUGUAAAGUACUUUCAGUUGUGAGGAAGGGUGUGUAGUUAAUAGCUGCGCAUCUUGACGUUAGCAACAGAAGAAGCACCGGCUAACUCCGUGCCAGCAGCCGCGGUAAUACGGAGGGUGCGAGCGUUAAUCGGAAUUACUGGGCGUAAAGCGCAUGCAGGUGGUUCAUUAAGUCAGAUGUGAAAGCCCGGGGCUCAACCUCGGAACUGCAUUUGAAACUGGUGAACUAGAGUGCUGUAGAGGGGGGUAGAAUUUCAGGUGUAGCGGUGAAAUGCGUAGAUAUA
RNAcentral lists this ribosomal RNA (662 nucleotides) under uncultured bacterium. RNAcentral describes it as "bacterial SSU rRNA". It matches the Rfam family "Bacterial small subunit ribosomal RNA", at positions 56 to 698 of the family's 1533-position model. The record is from RNAcentral.